UACGUAGGCAGCGAGCGUUGUUCGGAGUUACUGGGCGUAAAGGGUGUGUAGGCGGUUUUCUAAGUUUGGUGUGAAAUCUCCCGGCUUAACUGGGAGGGUGCGCUAUAAACUGCGGGACUAGAGUGUGGGAGAGGAAAGUGGAAUUCCUGGUGUAGCGGUGAAAUGCGUAGGUAUCAGGAGGAACACCGGUGGUGUAAACGGCUUUCUGGACCAUAACUGACGCUGAGGCACGAAAGCGUGGGUAGCAAACAGG
RNAcentral lists this ribosomal RNA (253 nucleotides) under uncultured bacterium. RNAcentral's name for it is "partial 16S ribosomal RNA". It matches the Rfam family "Bacterial small subunit ribosomal RNA", at positions 524 to 776 of the family's 1533-position model. The record is from RNAcentral.